AAUAGAUACCCGGGUAGUCCACGCUGUAAACGUUGGGAACUAGUUGUGGGGACCAUUCCACGGUUUCCGUGACGCAGCUAACGCAUUAAGUUCCCCGCCUGGGGAGUACGGCCGCAAGGCUAAAACUCAAAGGAAUUGACGGGGACCCGCACAAGCGGCGGAGCAUGCGGAUUAAUUCGAUGCAACGCGAAGAACCUUACCAAGGCUUGACAUAUACGAGAACGGGCCAGAAAUGGUCAACUCUUUGGACACUCGUAAACAGGUGGUGCAUGGUUGUCGUCAGCUCGUGUCGUGAGAUGUUGGGUUAAGUCCCGCAACGAGCGCAACCCUCGUUCUAUGUUGCCAGCACGUAAUGGUGGGAACUCAUGGGAUACUGCCGGGGUCAACUCGGAGGAAGGUGGGGAUGACGUCAAAUCAUCAUGCCCCUUAUGUCUUGGGCUUCACGCAUGCUACAAUGGCCGGUACAAAGGGCUGCAAUCCGUAAGGUGGAGCGAAUCCCAAAAAGCCGGUCCCAGUUCGGAUUGAGGUCUGCAACUCGACCUC
RNAcentral lists this ribosomal RNA (543 nucleotides) under uncultured bacterium. RNAcentral's name for it is "bacterial SSU rRNA". It matches the Rfam family "Bacterial small subunit ribosomal RNA", at positions 777 to 1319 of the family's 1533-position model. The record is from RNAcentral.